AGCAGCCGCGGUAAUUCCAGCUCCAAUAGCGUAUAUUAAAGUUGUUGCAGUUAAAAAGCUCGUAGUUGAAUUUCGGGAUCAAUUUGCUGGUCGUGCCUCUGGUACGUACUGGUAUUAUUGGUUUCUCCCUUCUGACGAACCAUGAUGUCAUUAAUUUGAUGUCGUGGAGAAUCAGGACUGUUACUUUGAAAAAUUAGAGUGUUUAAAGCAGGCAUUAGCUUGAAUACAUUAGCAUGGAAUAAUGAAAUAGGACGUUUGAUCCUAUUUUGUUGGUUUCUAGGAUUGACGUAAUGAUUAAUAGGGAUAGUUGGGGGCAUUAGUAUUCAAUUGUCAGAGGUGAAAUUCUUGGAUUUAUUGAAGACUAACUACUGCGAAAGCAUUUGCCAAGGAUGUUUUCAUUAAUCAAGAACGAAAGUUAGGGGAUCGAAGACGAUCAGAUACCGUCGUAGUCUUAACCAUAAACUAUGCCGACUAGGGAUCGGAUGAUGUUAAUUUUUAAUGA
RNAcentral lists this small RNA (502 nucleotides) under uncultured Glomus. RNAcentral describes it as "SSU rRNA". It matches the Rfam family "Eukaryotic small subunit ribosomal RNA", at positions 569 to 1074 of the family's 1831-position model. The record is from RNAcentral. Lineage: Eukaryota; Fungi; Glomeromycota; Glomeromycetes; Glomerales; Glomeraceae.